This 352-nucleotide RNase P RNA is filed under the name Aptenodytes forsteri (emperor penguin). RNAcentral's name for it is "Nuclear RNase P". It matches the Rfam family "Nuclear RNase P". Rfam says of the family: Ribonuclease P (RNase P) is a ubiquitous endoribonuclease, found in archaea, bacteria and eukarya as well as chloroplasts and mitochondria. Its best characterised activity is the generation of mature 5'-ends of tRNAs by cleaving the 5'-leader elements of precursor-tRNAs. Cellular RNase Ps are ribonucleoproteins. The record is from Rfam by way of RNAcentral. Lineage: Eukaryota; Metazoa; Chordata; Aves; Sphenisciformes; Spheniscidae.
UCCGGGGGAAGCUCACCGCCGAGGCCACGCACUGGGUGCGCGUCACCCGCGCCCCGCCUCGGGGAAGGUCUGAGAGAAGGGCCGCCCGCGGCUCCAGCAGAGCCCCGCCCGCGAGGGGCGGGUGAGCCACCAGCAAGGGGGGGCGCCGCGUACUAACGGGCCGGCCUGGGCAGGAGAAGCCGUGCAGGUUCCGGGGGGUGGGGGGGUCACCCCCCUCCCGCUCAAGCGAACCCCGGUGGAUGCUGGUGGCCCCGCGGUGCUUUGAGACAGACUCACGGCCGGCGAUCGUUGAGUCCAAUGGUGUGAGGUGGGGCAGCGCCCUACAACCCAAUUCAGACUACUCUCCCCCGGA